GAACGACAUGUCCCUCCGGGAAUUUAUUAGUGUUUCCUCAAACAAACAAACAAACAGGUUUACAUUUCAUCUGCUCUUUGGGGGAACGUCUCAAAUGGCACCCUAUCCCCUAUAUUCCUAUUCCCUAUGUAGUGCCCUACUUUAGACAAGAGCCCUAUUCCCUAUGUAGUGCACUACUUUCGACCAGGGCCCUAUUCCCUAUACAGUACACUACUUUAGACCAGAGUUGUCAAUAAGAGUAGUGCACUACUUUAGACCAGAGUGUCAAUAAGACUUAGGCACUACUUUAGACCAGAGUGUCAAUAAGACGUAGUGCACUACUUUAGACCAGUGUCAAUAGGAAGUAGUGCACUACACAGGGAACAGGGCACCAUUUGAGACGCUCAAACCAAAACAUGAUUACACGGUGUUAAGAAAUGUAGAAAAAAACCAACACAGAAAUCCUUUUGGCAUGAGGAUAAAAGCCUUUUUAAGCCAGAGAGGAGUGUAAAGUAAGGCAGUAACUGUCCUUCAUCAAAUUAUAUUAUUACAUAAACAACAUUUUGUUAAUCUAUUGAAUCCUUUUUGGUUAGUUUGUUGUCGUUUUUCACACAGGGGCUGUUGUUGUAUAAAUAUGACCAGUAUGUGCACUUUCAAACAUUCACGUUUAUAUAAAAAAUAAACAUAAACAGUUUCACUUAGACAACAGCCACAGAAGACAUCACCAGGGAAACUGGGCUACAGUGAGAGAUGGCAGCCAUUUUGGAUCUGUUUUAAACAAGGGUCCCUCAUGUCCUUCAGGGGGUACCUAGGUUUAUGCCUGAUUGAAAAAGAGCUUAAAUUAUUUUUUACUUCAGUGAUCCUUUU
Oncorhynchus tshawytscha (Chinook salmon) is the source of this 846-nucleotide long non-coding RNA. NCBI's taxonomy places the organism in Eukaryota, Metazoa, Chordata, Actinopteri, Salmoniformes, Salmonidae. The record is from Ensembl.